Molecule: ribosomal RNA, 497 nt
Filed under: uncultured bacterium
Lineage: Bacteria
Description: partial 16S ribosomal RNA
Rfam family: Bacterial small subunit ribosomal RNA
Source: RNAcentral
GAUGAACGCUGGCGGCGUGCCUAAUACAUGCAAGUCGAGCGAACGGACGAGAAGCUUGCUUUUCUGAUGUUAGCGGCGGACGGGUGAGUAACACGUGGAUAACCUACCUAUAAGACUGGGAUAACUUCGGGAAACCGGAGCUAAUACCGGAUAAUAUUUUGAACCGCAUGGUUCAAAAGUGAAAGACGGUCUUGCUGUCACUUAUAGAUGGAUCCUCGCUGCAUUAGCUAGUUGGUAAGGUAACGGCUUACCAAGGCAACGAUGCAUAGCCGACCUGAGAGGGUGAUCGGCCACACUGGAACUGAGACACAUUCCAGACUCCUACGGGAGGCAGCGGUACGGAAUCUUCCGCAAUGGGCGAAAGCCUGACGGAGCAAAGCCGCGUGAGUGAUGAAGGUCUUCGGCUCGUAAAACUCUGUUAUUAGGGAAGAUCAUAUGUGUAAGUAACUGUGCACAUCUUGACGUUACCUAAUCAGAAAGCCACGGCUAACUACGUG